GACUAUCGACAACAAAUAUAUCGUCUCUUGUUGCGAUGAAGAACGUAGCGAAAUGUGAUUCUUAGUGUGAAUUGCAGAAUCUCAUGAAUCAUCGAGUUUUUGAACAUAAUUUGUGCUCGAGGCAUUGUUCAAGGGAAGGUCUAUCUGGGAGUAG
Non-coding RNA from Picea glauca (white spruce), 154 nucleotides. Lineage: Eukaryota; Viridiplantae; Streptophyta; Pinopsida; Pinales; Pinaceae. The record is from Rfam.